This 484-nucleotide ribosomal RNA is filed under the name uncultured bacterium. Its description in RNAcentral is "partial 16S ribosomal RNA". It matches the Rfam family "Bacterial small subunit ribosomal RNA", at positions 30 to 507 of the family's 1533-position model. The record is from RNAcentral.
AUUGAACGCUGGCGGCAGGCCUAACACAUGCAAGUCGAGCGGAUGAAGGGAGCUUGCUCCUGGAUUCAGCGGCGGACGGGUGAGUAAUGCCUAGGAAUCUGCCUGGUAGUGGGGGAUAACGUCCUGAAACGGGCGCUAAUACCGCAUACGUCCUGAGGGAGAAAGUGGGGGAUCUUCGGACCUCACGCUAUCAGAUGAGCCUAGGUCGGAUUAGCUAGUUGGUGGGGUAAAGGCCUACCAAGGCGACGAUCCGUAACUGGUCUGAGUGGAUGAUCAGUCACACUGGAACUGAGACACGGUCCAGACUCCUACGGGAGGCAGCAGUGGGGAAUAUUGGACAAUGGGCGAAAGCCUGAUCCAGCCAUGCCGCGUGUGUGAAGAAGGUCUUCGGAUUGUAAAGCACUUUAAGUUGGGAGGAAGGGCAGUAAGUUAAUACCUUGCUGUUUUGACGUUACCAACAGAAUAAGCACCGGCUAACUUCGUG